This 31-nucleotide ribosomal RNA is filed under the name Tricholoma terreum. RNAcentral's name for it is "partial 18S ribosomal RNA". Lineage: Eukaryota; Fungi; Basidiomycota; Agaricomycetes; Agaricales; Tricholomataceae. The record is from RNAcentral.
UUCCGUAGGUGAACCUGCGGAAGGAUCAAUA